This 301-nucleotide ribosomal RNA is filed under the name uncultured bacterium. Its description in RNAcentral is "partial 16S ribosomal RNA". It matches the Rfam family "Bacterial small subunit ribosomal RNA", at positions 509 to 809 of the family's 1533-position model. The record is from RNAcentral.
CAGCAGCCACGGGAAUACGAAGGGUGCAAGCGUUAAUCGGAAUUACUGGUCGUAAAGCGCGCGUAGGUGGUUUGGUAAGAUGGAUGUGAAAUCCCCGGGCUCAACCUGGGAACUGCAUCCAUAACUGCCUGACUAGAGUACGGUAGAGGGUGGUGGAAUUUCCUGUGUAGCGGUGAAAUGCGUAGAUAUAGGAAGGAACACCAGUGGCGAAGGCGACCACCUGGACUGAUACUGACACUGAGGUGCGAAAGCGUGGGGAGCAAACAGGAUUAGAUACCCCCGUAGUCCCUGUCUCUUAUAU